ACGCCGCGUGAGUGAUGAAGGUUUUCGGAUCGUAAAGCUCUGUUGUUAGGGAAGAACAAGUGCGAGAGUAACUGCUCGCACCUUGACGGUACCUAACCAGAAAGCCACGGCUAACUACGUGCCAGCAGCCGCGGUAAUACGUAGGUGGCAAGCGUUGUCCGGAAUUAUUGGGCGUAAAGGGCUCGCAGGCGGUUUCUUAAGUCUGAUGUGAAAGCCCCCGGCUCAACCGGGGAGGGUCAUUGGAAACUGGGAAACUUGAGUGCAGAAGAGGAGAGUGGAAUUCCACGUGUAGCGGUGAAAUGCGUAGAGAUGUGGAGGAACACCAGUGGCGAAGGCGACUCUCUGGUCUGUAACUGACGCUGAGGAGCGAAAGCGUGGGGAGCGAACAGGAUUAGAUACCCUGGUAGUCCACGCCGUAAACGAUGAGUGCUAAGUGUUAGGGGGGUUUCCGCCCCUUAGUGCUGCAGCUAACGCAUUAAGCACUCCG
This 487-nucleotide ribosomal RNA is filed under the name uncultured Bacillus sp. Its description in RNAcentral is "bacterial SSU rRNA". It matches the Rfam family "Bacterial small subunit ribosomal RNA", at positions 394 to 871 of the family's 1533-position model. The record is from RNAcentral. Lineage: Bacteria; Bacillati; Bacillota; Bacilli; Caryophanales; Bacillaceae.